UAAAGGUGCAAUUAUAAAUAACUUAUACAUAUAUAUGUAUAAUUUUGCUGCUGAUCCAGAUUAAAAGUGUUUAUACCACUACUGAAUGCCUUUUUGUACUUCUAUUUGAGUUUCCCUUUGGCCAACAAAUUUGCCUAAUCCAAUCGUAUGGUUGAGUGAGGGUUGAGAGCACGCACACAUCCACACAAACUCCAAAUGAGUAAUAAUCCCUUUUUUCAGUCCAGCGAAGAGGGAGAAGACAGGCAGCAUCAGUGAUCCUGCUUUUCGACAGCGCGUUGCAAAGAUUAAACAAACAGUGUCGAAUGGCACCCGUGCUCCUUAUUCACUCUUCACAUUUUGGCUCCAUGGAGUGAGACAGCAAACCACCGGCUGUGCAGGAAACUUGGAGACGCAUGCACGCACAUACUGAUGGUUUUCUCAACAAAGAGCUCUGUGGAUGGCUGACAAUUGACAAGUGAGAUGGGUUCUGCAGUCAGUCCUGACAAGAUCUAAUCCAGGCUUGUCAACAAGUUCACUUCAAGCCCAUCAGCG
This is a long non-coding RNA of Syngnathoides biaculeatus (alligator pipefish), 531 nucleotides long. RefSeq lists it as uncharacterized. NCBI's taxonomy places the organism in Eukaryota, Metazoa, Chordata, Actinopteri, Syngnathiformes, Syngnathidae. The record is from RefSeq and is a predicted model, not a curated record. The transcript is spliced from 3 exons.